CUUUUACGUAGGCCUUCGUGAUCGUUUGGUUGUGUGGUAGGUAAGCGUCGGUGUUGCGGGCGAGUACUGGAGCAAAAGGUGGAGGUGCAGGCCGAGUUAAGAGUUUUGAUAGUGUGAAACCAUCUUAGUGUAGAGCUUAGAGUGCUGAGAGUUGAAAGCUUGCACGUGGGAAAUGUGCAGCCCGACCGCCACAUGUACUGAGAUUGAGUCGUGACGGCCACAGGCUCCGAGUUUUGGCGUGAGGAGAACGCUGAUCGGCCACGGGUGCCGCGCUUGCUGGCCUCUGGCAUGUGCCUGAACGGCGGCGGAAAAGCCACACUUAAUUGGGGCAGAGGGUUAGUUUUAAGAGCAAGGGGCCUUUACUAAAAUGGCGAAGACCUUCCGUCGGCGUUGUUUUAAAACGGGCAGCCUCAACCCUGCAUUGAGACUGAGCUGUUCCAAGGCGGCGUUGUGUGCAAUUCGGAUUAAUGAAGGGGAAAGGUUUUGUGUGGAAAAACACCUUGGAGUGUGACGUUUCUGCGAGAAUGCUUAUCGGUUUCCCGCAGGAACAAUGGCGCUGUCAUGGCCCAGCAGAGCAGAUCUGAAGAUGCAAAGAUACAUGAAAGAAUUCCAGAAUAUGCGGGAGAAUAUUUAAUGGAAAACCGCUUGGUUAAACCUGACACUCUUCAUGGCAUUCUGGGUGUGGACGAUCAGCCAGUGAAGAUAAUGAAUGUCGGAUGUCACUGACUAGCAGCUUCAUUUUGAAUGAGGGUCGCUGUCUGCCCAUUGAUAAGAGGCCAGAUUGUCUUGGAAGUUCCAAAGUUGCAACGAUUUCUGGCUAGUGCCACGAGGUUUACUUGACUGUUGUAUGAAAAGCUGAUAAGAAAACCAUCCAGAAAAAAAGCUCUUCGGUUUACAAACACGAAAAUAAAACACGUAAUUUUGGAUUAUGUUGUUUUUAAUUAUUUUAAAUAGGUCCUGAAAUAACAUGGCGGGCAUUAAAUGGAAAAUCCACUACUAUCUGAUACUACCAAAUAAAAUGAGAGAGAAGCCUUAGGCAUGUAACAUUACAUUUGGAGAUAGAAAAUACACCUUCACUAUGAAGGUAGUGUGUGUAAGAUGGCAGUGAAAGCAGUGUUUGCAUUUAUACCCUUGAUCUCCGAUAACCCUUGCCUGCUAGACAUAAAACUAUUAAUCAUUGUUUUUCUCCCCCUUCCAGAACUUCUGCAUAAAAUUUUAAGAUCUGUGUUUCAUUACUUCAAAAGUGCCUAGAAUAGGGCCAGGCACUUACUGUUAUAGAAUAUGUGGUAAAAGACUAUUCAUAUUCCACAGUUUUCAGGGAAGAGUGCCAUUUCCCUUUUGUCAAAGCUGGCAACCAAGACAAAGUUGUGAAAUAGACUAUUUGCUUUCGAGCCCUCUGACCUCUUUUUCUGUAGCUCCUUCUAACUCCCUUGCCUCCCAAUAGAUCUUUUAAUAUGUCACAUUUUCUUAGUUGAUAUCAAAAUUAGUACUCCACAUUUAUAUACACUGGCCUGUGCUAGGCUCUGCCAAGACUCCUGAAAUAAAACACCAUUUUGUCAAUAGUGGCACAGGAUGCCAAGGAAAAGUCAAGCUAUGAAGAAUUCUUGAAAAUAGAACAAGUGGAUUUGAGUUUAAACCAGCACAGAUGUUGGGAAAAUAGGCCCAAGAAAUACUAAGCAAAGACAGUAUGGUUCAGAGUCUGAGAGACAAAUAUUGAGGAUUUGGGUACCAAUAGGGUGGACGUGUGUGGGACAGAAAACAUGUUAUAAAUACCCUUAAGAUUCGUGAGCAAGGGAGUUAGAAAUGUAAGAAUAUCCUGUAAUUAGAGUCAGAUCCAAAAAGGUUUAACUUCAAUGGAAUUGAACUUGAAAGCUCAGUUUUGGUUACCGACUCCUUGAUGGCAAUUUCUAAUCACACAGGAGGCUGUUAGUCUGUAAUAGCCUCCUAAAAACUCAGGCAAUAUUGGUUAAGAUCAGUUGCAUAAGUUCACCCUCCAGAGCAUAUCUGCUGCUUGGGACCAGGUGCAGUGGCUCAUGCCUGUAAUCCCAGCACUUAGGAAGGGUUGCUUGAGACCAACCUGGAAACAGCAAGAUGCCAUCUCUACAAAUAAGAGAACUAACUGGGUGUGGUGAUGUGCACUUGUUCCAGCUACUCAGGAGACUGAGAUAGAAUCACUUGAACCUAGGAAACUGAAGCUACAAUCAGCCAUAAUUGCACCUCUAUGCUCUAUCGUGAGCAACAGGCCAGGCUAAAAAAAA
Molecule: long non-coding RNA, 2258 nt
Organism: Macaca fascicularis (crab-eating macaque)
Lineage: Eukaryota; Metazoa; Chordata; Mammalia; Primates; Cercopithecidae
Source: Ensembl